AUGCUAUAGAAUUUGGAAUAAAUUUGAUACCAAAAACCUGUCUUUGCUUUUAUUCAAUACCAAUAGGUUUCUCAAGAACAAAAUAUAAAGAUCACAAGUUUAAGCAAUAAACCCUUUUCCUAAUUGCUAAUUCUCUUGAUCUCUCUUUAUCUCUUUGCUCUUCUCUCUUUGAUCGGAUGAUCUUUCCCUGCUGUAGAAGCUCUUCUUAUAUAAUCAUAAACUAGACCCAAUCCUCUCUGAAAAAGGAUUAUUUCCAUUCUUGCAAAACACGAGACCGUCUUUGGUGUUUCCUUUUCCUGAAAACAUUAACCGACAAAGCAUGGUUUGGUCUUUUGUAAGUGAGCUGGAAUUGGGCCAGAAGUGGGAUUGGGCCCAUCUCUUCACAAUCUCCACCUUGGGCCCAACUCCAUACUUCUAUUGCGUCUUCUCGUUGACGGAGAAUCCGUCGUCUUCAUCGUCAACGUCUCUCACUUGGAAGCAAAUAUCCAGAAGCAUGCCUUUUAAUAUAAACCUUCACAACUUAUCCUUUGUUGUAAUCAAAGUUACAAACUGACUUCUUCACCAACCAAAAUAGUUCCUCCACCAUCUUCUAUGUCGUUUCAGCUGAUUUGUCUGCCGAUUCUUUUCAAUUCCAGCCGGUGAAUCCAUCACCAACGACUCUGACCACCUGACUCGUCAAUUAGUCUUUCCAGGAAGCUGCGAAUUGAUCCCCUAGAGCCACCGUUUGAUUUUCAUCCUCCUAUAAAAAAUUCAGAUUAAUGAAGCUACUCCUAUAAACCACCAUGGUUUUUCAGCUGCUUCAAUGAGUUCAGCUCUAAUCCGUAAGAUUCAACCACUAUGCGCAUUCUCUGAUGGUUUCUCAUCGUUUAUGGAUCCGUCACCGCUAGACGACCCUUUCGUUAAGGAUAAUUAGAAAAACAAGUUUCACCGGAGUUCUGCAGUUUUCCACUUCUUGGACAAAAUUCGCUGCUUCCUCAACCUAUUGACGAUGACUUUCCUUUUGUUUCUUCGACGAUCCCGUUGUGCUUCUCAUGUACCAGAGAUACUCGUCUCCCUUCACCAUUGACGGUGUUUAAGACGUUCUCUCAUCAACCUUCCCCUUCCUUGUUUGGCGACCCGUUGCAAUUGUUUUUUAGCCUGAGAUACUCGUCUCCCUUCACCAUUCUUGAUGUUUAAGACGUUCUCUCAGCUGCUCCACCUUGAACUGAAACAUCCACCUCGUCUUAUCCGUCACAGGUAACCUUUCUAAAUCCUUUUCAUUAUCGAUAAGAAACAAUAGUAGUUCCUUACUCAUUAUUUCUUCUUGUGCGAGGUGUCUCGAUAAUGACGUUACCUGUGACGCUUUUCUCCUAUUAGUGGACAUUGGGAAGUUCACAGCAAAGCUGCAACUUCUGAUCAGUGAGCUGGAAUUGGGCCAGAAGUGGGAUUGGGCCCAUCUCUUCACAGUAAACGACGGCGUUUGGUUUAGGUUCCAUGGAGGAAAUAAGUUGAGAGAGGCUUCGAGAGACGUUUUCUUCGAAUUUUGCCAAGUACUCGGAAGAUACUUCGCUGGAUAAAUGGCCUUCCUCGAAGCCGUCGUCUAGGGGGACGAAA
Molecule: long non-coding RNA, 1593 nt
Organism: Raphanus sativus (radish)
Lineage: Eukaryota; Viridiplantae; Streptophyta; Magnoliopsida; Brassicales; Brassicaceae
Exons: 6
Source: RefSeq, a predicted model, not a curated record